CCCUUAGAUGUUCUGGGCCGCACGCGCGCUACACUGAUGAAUUCAACGAGCCCCUAACCUAGGCCGAAGGGUCCGGGUAAUCUUUGAAAUUUCAUCGUGAUGGGGAUAGAUUAUUGCAAUUAUUAAUCUUCAACGAGGAAUUCCUAGUAAGCGCGAGUCAUCAGCUCGCGUUGAUUACGUCCCUGCCCUUUGUACACACCGCCCGUCGCUCCUACCGAUUGAAUGGUCCGGUGAAAUGUUCGGACCGCGACAAGGCGGACGGUUCGCUGUCAGCUUUGCUGCGGGAAGUUCAUUAAACCUUAUCAUUUAGAGGAAGGAGAAGUCGUAACA
This 330-nucleotide ribosomal RNA is filed under the name uncultured eukaryote. RNAcentral describes it as "partial 18S ribosomal RNA". It matches the Rfam family "Eukaryotic small subunit ribosomal RNA", at positions 1470 to 1796 of the family's 1831-position model. The record is from RNAcentral.